GAGUAGCUGCUCCUCCAGUCCCCUCCCCAGCGGAAUCUGUGCGGGGAGAGCCGUUUCCUACCGCCCCUCUGUGUCCAGCCGGAGGAGGGGACCCAUCUCUGCUCCCGGGCGGGGGUCUGCGAGUCCCAGCGCUGCUGCCCCCCCUGAGCGCCUGCAGGAGCCAAGCCAGCUCCGGGAGAGCGACCGGCCCGGGCCCGGGUCAGGGACCGAGUCUCCCAGCCCGAGGGGAGAGGGGGCAGGAGGGAGACAGUGGGAGAGACUGGAUGGGGCAGCAGGAGCAAUAAGGGGGUGUAUACAAAUCUCUGGUCAGAUCCUUCUCCCCCCCCCCCCCAGGCAGAGGGGGGAAGUGAACCUGUUUGACCCACAUCCCAGCUGAAUGCUAACUACUGGUCUCUGAGUCAUACUGUGGGCACCUUCUCCUCUGGGUUUGGAACGGGCCCUUGCUGAGGCAUGCUCUGAGCGCACCUAGCAGAUCAGGCCUUGCAGGGACGUUAGGAAUUCACCUGCCUGGCUUAGCCUGGUUCAGGGAUUGUGCUGGGGCUCAGAAAGGAGAUAGUGUCUGGAUGCCUAGAGGGAGGAAGUGGUGUACAUGACCAGAACAGGAAAUUAGGCAGCUGGAGAACUUUUACAGCAGUAAUUUAGAUGUGCAGUGAGAGAGGGGUUGUAUAAAAUGGCACCCGAAACUGGGAUGUAGUCAGACACCUAAAUGUAAGUCAGUUAGCUUAUCUGAAUGAUUACACAGGCCCAGGAGGAGGCUGCGAUCUUGUGAGUUUAGGAGAGAAUGCCUGGCUGGAUUAGCACACAGAAGAUGGGUGGACUGGAAGGGUUAAAGGUUUGUACUUUUGAGUUAAUGAAAUAAGCCCCACAAAGGAAGAAUGUUGGUCUGAGCAUUCUGGUCUGGGAGUAAUCCUUGCAAGAGAGCGAGAAAGAGCUGCAGGUCUGCAGGACCAAGCAUGCUACCAGGGGGUGGCUCUUGGGUGGCACACCAUCACUCCAGUCAAGCAUGAGAAAGCCAGGAAAGGCCACAGGUAAGGGACCCCUUGUGCAUCUUUAACUGCUCCCUUUUGCUUAAGCAUUAGGACACUGUGUUUUACUACAUGGUCACAUAUUAUCUCUCAGAACUCAUUGUCUCAGGAAGUUGUUGAAGCCAAGAAUUUAAUAAGAUUCAGAAAAGGAUUGGACAUUUACAUGGACAUCACACGUCAGGUCUGAAGCCAAGUUCUGGCUAAUAGAGACCAGGAAAAGACCUAAUAUGGUGGCACACUAUCCCACACAGCUACACCGUCCUCUGAAGCAGCUGGCACUGGUCAUUCUGAGACACAGAAUAUUGGGCUAAGUCCAUACCUGGAUCUGAUCCAGUCUGGAAAUUCCUACGUUUGUACUAUACACUGCAUGGUUUUUUUCCUACAAUCUUAAAUGCACGUGUGUGACACCCUGUAAUAUAACUGUGUCACCUGGCAUGCCGAUAACAACGUCCCCGUGGCCAAAAUCCUACAGUAAAUCUUUAGUGAAACAGAUUUGUCAUAUGGUCACUUCUGUCUUCUAUAAUUGUGUAGGCAGUGAUUAAUUUGUGCCAGGGCUGAGCCCUAGCACCUCGAGGCUUGGCAGUUCAUAGCACCAACACCUCUGGGCUCCUGGCCAGCAGCCGCAGCUCAGAAGGCAGCACCGCCACCACCAGCAGCACAGAUGGAAGAUUGGCAAUACUAUCCCAUGCCAUCCUUAGUUCUGUGCUGCUGCUGACAACAGUACUGCUUUCAGAGCUGGGUGCCCAGCCAGCAGCCGUCACUCUCCAGCUGCUCAUCUUGAGCCCCGGCACCUCUUUCAUUACAGAUUAAGCACUGGGUGUAUAUCGUUAAUUAUUAUGCUGCUCCAUGUACAAGCAGGAUUUCUAUCCCUCUGGACUCAGAUACACUUCUGAGGGAUGGUUUUGUUAUCACAGCAGAACAGAGAAUUGCACUAACAGCCUGGAUUCCUCCUUUUCUGACACCAGUAUCCCCUUCUGACACCAACCUGGUCCCUCUAUCAAGCAGUAGCAGUUGUCCGAGGUCUUGCAGGUUGACUUUGCAGUGGGGGAGAAAUCAGUGAUUAUCCAUGAGGGUUUCCAGCCAGCUGGUUUUCAUCACACAUGGGUGACUCAAGGUAACAUGCUGUGGCCACUAAACUUGUGCUAUACCAACGUACUUUUAAAUUUGAAAUCAGUCUGUAUACACUGUAAGGGUAAAUUGCAGUACACCAAUCCUGACAUGAGAAGGUCAAACUGCAUGCAGGGCAAUCCCUUCUCCUAGGAAUCUCAACUCCACACCAGUUCCCAGACAGCAGCUCUGUCUGGAGCAGACUGUAUUUACAGAGCAAUCUUGCCUGCUCCUCGCGUAGCUUCUCCUGUCCCAAAGCUGCUUCUACUCCAAACCUGGCAUAAUCCAAAACUAAUGAAGCACAAUAUAUCAUCCCAAGAGUCAAAACUUGCUCACAUGCCUAGGAAAAGGGUUUGGAGACUGUGUGUAACAGUGCCACUUUGUGACACCUGCCAGGUUUUGUUAUGAACUUUAUUUGCCUCUUUCCUGGGAACUGCCCUGAAAUGACCCUCAUAGAGUUAACAGUAACUUUCCCAAAGCAGUGAAAGGAAUUGCUUUAAAGUAUUUAUGCUUCUAGCUUCCAUAUUUAAGCUAAGGUCCUUCUAGGAGCUGACAAAUGCACAUGAAUGUCUUCCUAGCUGCUACUGUACACCAGAAUAGAAUACCCUGUAAUAAUAGGUCAUGCUUGUGUUGAAUCUUUCUUAGCUGACCAUUUAAUGGCACACAUUUUUAAAAAGUGGCCUCACUGAUAGCCUCCGUUUUUUAGGAACCCAGCUUGACACCUUGGGCAGCCGCAGUUCCCAUUGGCUCCAGCACCUCUUAAGAUCCAUAACCGUCUCACCGUGGGCACAUGACAUGUGAGAUACUCAAAAUCAGUGUACCUGGAAGUGCAGCAGCUUUUGGGGCUGAGCAGAGCAGCCAGGGUUGCCGAAGGUGACGUGCUGUGGCCAGUGAAAGUAAUAGGGAUUACUUAUUGACAACUCCAAUGUGAGCUCUCAGAUGGAACAAGGGGAAGAGCUGUGGGUCCCAGAUCUCCAGGGCUGUGAGGAACGGGAGAUUGCAGCAGGUGACGGGACAGUGAGUGAGAACAAGGAGGAGACCCCUCAGCAGGAAGGUCCCGAGCAAGUGGAACCACCUGGGAUGUUACUGGGAAGAGCUGAAAGGGAUGUUUCCCAGAGUCAUGAGCAGGGAGAAGCCUGUGAGAGUCAGUGCAGGCUGGAGAAGCAUCAGAAAAACCAGCCAGGGAAGGGAGAGAGAAAACCCACUUGCUGUGGGGAAAGACUCAAGAAACCAAAAGACAUCUCAGCCUGUCCGAGAGAAAGGAAAGGAGGUGAAAAUGGAGAUACACACACUGUGUCUGGGAAGAGCUGUAGACAGAGCUCAGAACUUAGUGUUCAGCAGACAAUCCACCCUGUAGAGAGGCCCAAUAAAUGCCCUGACUGUGAGAAAAGCUUUAGCCAGAAAUCAGCCCUUGUUAGACACCAAAGGCUGCACACAGGAGAGAAGCCCUACAAAUGCAGUGACUGUGGGAAGAGCUUCAGUGUGAGCUCACACCUGAUCACCCACCAGAGACUGCACACAGGAGAGAGACCCUACAAGUGCCUGGACUGUGGGAAAAGCUUCAGCGAGAGCUCAAACUUUAUUCACCAUCAGAGAAUCCACACAGGAGAGAGACCCCAUAAAUGCCCCGACUGCGGGAAACUCUUCAGUAACAACUCAGACCUCACGAGGCACCGCCGGACCCACACGGGAGAGAGGCCUUAUGAGUGCCCGGACUGCAGGAAGAGCUUCAGUGUGAGGUCCCAUUUAGCAAGACACAAGCGCGUGCAUGCAAAGGAGGAGGAGCUGGAAAGCUCCUCCCUUCUCUCACAUCAGAGAUUUCUGUCAAACGAGAAGCUCUACACAUGCCCUGACUGUGGGAGAAGGUUCAGGGACAGCAGAGGCCUCGUCACACAUCAGCGAAUCCACAUGGGGCAGAAAUGCUACCAGUGCUCUAACUGCGGGAAAAGCUUCGGGGUGAGCUCAGCUCUUUCUGAGCACCAGAGAAUCCACGCGGACGAGAAACCCACCAUCUAUCCAGAUUGUGGGAAAUGCUUUCUUCAGAGCUCAGAGCUGCUCCUCCAUCAGAUUAGCCAUGCAGGGGGAAAGCCAUACACAUGUGAGGAGUGUGGUAAAUGCUUCACUCAGAGAUCAAAUCUCCGGGCUCACCUCAAACACCACACAGCUGAGAAGCCCCAUAAAUGCACCCAGUGUGGCAAGAGCUUUGUCAAGCGCUCCAUCCUGGCCAGGCACCAGAUCACCCACAUGGACCUGAAACCGUUUAAAUGCUCCGUGUGCAGCAAAAGCUUCACUCAACUCUCCAGCCUCACGAGGCAUGAGAGGGUCCAUGAGGCAGAGAUGCUCUCCAAGCCCCCCGACUGGAUGGCAGAAAUGAAACAUACGUUCAUCGAUUCCAGCGGGCGGGCGUGGAACUGGGCUCAAGAGUAUCCGGCUGCCCAACUGUGGGGUGAGGAGGCAGCCAUAACCAGCCCCAAACUGAUCAGUGACCCUCGGCCUAUGCCUGGUCUGGCAAACCCCAGGCAGAGCAGGGGAGACCUCAGCCAGCCCCUUUUAAGUGCUGCUGAACUCGCUGCCGAGCUGCCGAGCUCUUCUGCCUCCUGCCAGGACGGUGCAGGGAGGGAGAAUGUCUCUAUCUCCCUGGACUGAAAGAUCCCCCGUCCCCUUAACUGCUUCCCCAGGCCACCAGCCUCAGGAGAAGCACUAGAGGAGGGCAUUACAGCUGGGAUUUCCCGAGAUACCCAGGGGGCAGGAUUGGGGGUGGUGGGAAGCAGAGUGGGGCAGCUGGCUGCUAGGGGUAUUAAGUGUCUGGAGACCGGGGGUUAAGGAAUCAUAGAAUAUCAGGGUUAGAAGGGACCUCAGGAAGUCAUCUAGUCCAACCCCCUGCUCAAAGCAGGAGGAGAAUGGGCAGGGUUAGGAUGCUCCAUUCCCCUCAGUUGGAGUCUCAACAUCUCUGAAAGCCAAUCCUGAUACUUUUAAUGACUGCCAUUAGUCACUUGUGUCAUCACUUCCUGGUAAAAUCUGCUGCUUUUUUUCAUCCUUUGAGUGUCUUUGCACUGAUGUAUAUAUACAUGAUGACACAAGGUGCAGGGCUCACCAUUGGCUAACUGGAAAGGGAAAUUUAAGUGGGCCGAAUACAACUACCCAGACUGGAAUUGAUUCAGAAUAUGCGAUUACGCAAAGGCUUUUUUUAGUCAUGUGCUCUUUUAAUAAUCCUAACACUUGGUGUUUGAUAGCACUUUAUAUGCUCAAAACACUGUAGAAGCAUUAGAUCUUGUUAUAAUCUAUAAAGAAGGUCUGAAAGCUUGGGGUUUUUUUAAGAUUACAUUCUCCCCCCCUUUGCCUUGCUUUCUGACCCUAGGCACCAUUUUUGUACCAAUUGAACGAUUUAAUUGAGGGGAUUGAUUUUAGAGCUAAAUAAUUACACCGGUAAAAGCCCUAGAGUGGAUGCCAUUAUACUGGUAUUCUCAUAACUAUAAAGGGAAGGGAACAGCCCUCCUGUAUACAAUACUAUACAAUCCCUCCUGGCCAGAGGCACCAAAAUCCUUUCACCUGUAAAGGGUUAAGAAGCUCAGGUAACCUGGCUGACACCUGACCCAAAGGCCCAAUAAAGGGACAAGUUACUUUCAAAUCUUUGGGGCGGGGGGAGGGGAGAAGGCUUUUGUUUGUGCUCUUUGUUUUGGCUGUGUUCUCUCUUGCGACUAAGAGGGACCGGACAUCAAUCCAUUUUCUCCAAAUCUUUCUGAACAAGUCGCUCAUAUUUAAAACUUGUAAGUAACAGCCAGGCAAGGCAUAUUAGUUUGUCUUUGUUUUCUCAACUUGUGAAUUUUACAUUUGCUAGAGGGAAGUUUAUCCCUGUUUUGUUAUCACUUUGAACCUUAGGCUAGACAGGGUUCCUCUGGGCUCUUUGAAGCUGAUU
RNA transcript from Mauremys mutica (yellowpond turtle), 6048 nucleotides. It is a transcript of the gene named zinc finger protein 883-like, with no coding region annotated. The record is from RefSeq and is a predicted model, not a curated record. The transcript is spliced from 4 exons. Lineage: Eukaryota; Metazoa; Chordata; Testudines; Geoemydidae.